UCACUGAAGUCUCUUCCAGAUGCCAAUCUAGAAGAAGAAGAAGAAGAAGAAGAAGAAGAAGAAGAAGAAGAAGAAGAAGAAGAAGAAGAAGAAGAACAACAACAACAACAACAACAACAACAACAACAACAACAACAACAACAAGAACAAGAACAACAAGAACAAGAACAAGAGCAAGAGCAAGAGCAAGAACAAGAGCAAGAACAACAACAAGAACAAGAGCAAGAACAACAACAACAACAACAACAACAAGAGCAAGAACAAGAACAAGAACAAGAACAAGAAGAACAAGAACAAGAGAAUAAGAAUAUGGACUGGCCACCAUGCACUGGGCCUCACCAUCUUAAAGCCUCCAAUUCUCUCAGCUCCUUUAAAGAUAUGACCUGUGAUUCUCCUCAAGUGCUGACAAUUUGCUGUUUCACAUUCUUACCGGGAGCUGCCUGCUUUGCUACAAACCAUAUGCCCUUUUAAAUAGUACCUAUUCAUCAGUAAUGGAUAUUACUGGGCUGCUCUGGAUUUCUACACUGAGGUACUGAUGGGUUUUACAUACCUUUCUUUUCUCAAAAGGGAAUAUCUGUCUCUGAACACUAAAUAUGAGAAGCAUUUUUCAAAUUCCUUGACAGAAUGCUUUUAACAUAUCAGUGGGGCUAAUAAAUCUUUCCCCAUUCAGAGUAUUCUUAAUGAA
RNAcentral lists this long non-coding RNA (685 nucleotides) under Monodelphis domestica (gray short-tailed opossum). Its description in RNAcentral is "lncRNA (ENSMODG00000038296.1)". Lineage: Eukaryota; Metazoa; Chordata; Mammalia; Didelphimorphia; Didelphidae. The record is from RNAcentral.